ACAUACAAAGCCCCCCUUCAACUGACAUGACAAAGGCCUCCUUCUACUAGCUACCAGUCUCAUCAAAAUAAGUCUCAUCUCUAAUCUCUCUUCUCUGUGUGUUUUGGUGAGUCUAGCAAGCUACUAGUCAGUCACAGAGAAAAUACAGACUUACAACACCUAACGGAGAUGUCUGGUGGUCCCCUCUCCUGCUUCUCCAAACAGGGAAUACUCCUACUCUCUAUACUCCACUAUGUCAGCACAGAGCUUCGGGGCUUUGUGUGAACAAUUGUCACAAACAAAUCGGUUGCACUGGACAAAGUUUUCAUGGGCCUUGAUUCGUGUGCACUUGCCGCAGAUGUGGAAUAAUCUCUCUGAAGCAGCUGUGUGGCAUGGUCUCUCUGGAAAAAGCAAUGAGCAACAGUACAAACUCUGAUGUGCUCCAACAAAAUUUGAUUUGUCACGUGCCGAAUACAACAGGUGUAGAGCUUGCAGUGAAAUGCUUACUGACAAGCCCUUAACCAAC
This 505-nucleotide long non-coding RNA is filed under the name Salmo salar (Atlantic salmon). RNAcentral's name for it is "lncRNA (ENSSSAG00000112365.1)". Lineage: Eukaryota; Metazoa; Chordata; Actinopteri; Salmoniformes; Salmonidae. The record is from RNAcentral.